UGCUCCCACGUCUCAAUGCCCGGUUAGAUGAGGGUUUCCCUCUGCCGCUUCUGGACAGGAUUCAGCUCUCCAAUAUCCUCGUGAAAUUCUACCAGAAUUUCCUGCUGCUUGGAGCAGACGUUCACUUCCAGCCCCGGGGAUGAAGAUAAGGCGAUGAGAGCCCUUCAGCACUAAAUAUGCUCCAUUCACCACUUUACCAUUCCCUGCUUCCGUGCCUGAGCCAAAGACCAUUAGUCCUGCCACUGUCCUGCACUGCUGCCUUGGCCUGGACCCCCAGCUGGGGCCUCACCUGGUCCUUUCAUGAGUUGGGAGUCCCCUGCCCUGGGCCAACUCCUCCCCUCCUCCUUCUGAGCAGCAAUAAAGGUGUCGGUGCUGGGGC
Sturnus vulgaris (Common starling) is the source of this 379-nucleotide non-coding RNA. Lineage: Eukaryota; Metazoa; Chordata; Aves; Passeriformes; Sturnidae. The record is from RefSeq and is a predicted model, not a curated record.